ACGGUUGUAGCCAUGGGAUCUCCAACUGCAUACCAGAGUAACUGUAGAGACUUUGACAGCCCAGGUGAGCAUGGUGCCUGCAGCUGCCACUCAGCUUUCCCAUGUGC
This is a small nucleolar RNA of Meriones unguiculatus (Mongolian gerbil), 107 nucleotides long. Lineage: Eukaryota; Metazoa; Chordata; Mammalia; Rodentia; Muridae. The record is from Ensembl.